AAUCUUGAUUAUGUUUUAAGAAUGUUUUUGCAGGAAUAAUUCAAGACUUCAAGACUCCAUGUCUAAGUCAUAGAGUUUGUAUUAAGGUUGUAAAGUGUAAAUUUCUUUUAUUGGAUCGAUCAUGCAGGAGAUUAUCGUUUGGUGAUUGCGAUGAUCUUCUUUUUAUUAUUUAUGAGUUGUGUACGAACUUUGUAAUAUAUUUUGUCACGAAAUCGCCAAAGGGGGAGAUUGUUAAGAAUUUUAUAGGUUGGCGGAUUUCGUAGUGUUGAAUGGAGUCUUGAAGAGUUGAUUACGGAAGAUUGAAGAAAAGAUCUAAAUUGAAGAACAAAGACCCA
RNAcentral lists this long non-coding RNA (335 nucleotides) under Ananas comosus (pineapple). RNAcentral describes it as "long non-coding RNA (ACOM_LNC043628)". Lineage: Eukaryota; Viridiplantae; Streptophyta; Magnoliopsida; Poales; Bromeliaceae. The record is from RNAcentral.